UGCAAGUCCUACUACGGUUGCGCGGGUUUUUCUCUGGGAACCCUCAUUGCGCACAAAUCCAGCCCGUCGCCAGUACCGCCAAAUGCAGUCUGGCUGGAAAAGAUCAUCCCGUUUUCAUCCUCCCAGUGAAUGAUAACCACUAAACUAAAGCCUGGAGUUUUGGGGCUAUUACUGUGUGGCAUGCGGUAUCUUAAUUCCCCAACCAGGGAUCGAACCUAUGCCGCCUGCGUUGGGAGCACAGAGUCUUAACCACUGGAGUGCCAGGGAAGGCCCAGGAAGGUGUCUCCGUCAAGAUGGGGGGCGUGGCAGCAGCCCAGAAGUGAAAUGAAGUGGGGGUCGAGGGGCAAGUGAGGGUCGCUGGGCAGUCCGAAGGCGGCCCCACAAGCCCCGCCGCGAAGCUGACUGACAGUGCCCUGAGCCAAUGAUUGAAGUCACUGUGAGGCUCAACGUUAACCCUUUCUUGGGUCCUUGUUUGCUUUUGGGGAUAGAGUCCCUUCCCAGGAACUGUUCUCUAGUCCUGAAUCCCACCUGCACGAGGUCGGUGAUGAGUACCAGCCGGAAGAUCCUUUCGUCCUAGUCACCCCAGGUAGUAAUCUCAGAUAAUCUGCAGCCCUAGCUCCUCCGACCCCCUACCCCCACCCCAAAAGUAAACUGUAUUACAAAA
Lagenorhynchus albirostris (white-beaked dolphin) is the source of this 664-nucleotide long non-coding RNA. RefSeq lists it as uncharacterized. The transcript is spliced from 4 exons. The record is from RefSeq and is a predicted model, not a curated record. NCBI's taxonomy places the organism in Eukaryota, Metazoa, Chordata, Mammalia, Artiodactyla, Delphinidae.